UAUAACCAACUAGAAACACUAAAUGGGAGCAAUGAUGCAAUUCCUAGGUCUUGCAAAAGGCACAUGCAGGAAAAGGAAUGAGAUUGUUUAAGGGAUAUAAGUGACACAGAAGAAAGACACAGGUCUCUUAGCUGGUGUUAUAAGAACAUGGAGGAACUGGAUCUACUUUUCUAACAACUGAAAAUCAUACAAAGACAUACCUUAAAUACAUUAAGAAAAAUCUUAUUUCUUCCAUCUGCACAGUGUACAGUUUAAACCACAAGGUGAAACCUAACAGAAUUCAAGUGUAAGGCAGUCUGAUUAUUCAGGCACCUAUCUUGCAUGCAGGAGUUACCAUG
Lonchura striata (white-rumped munia) is the source of this 338-nucleotide non-coding RNA. The record is from RefSeq and is a predicted model, not a curated record. NCBI's taxonomy places the organism in Eukaryota, Metazoa, Chordata, Aves, Passeriformes, Estrildidae.